This 250-nucleotide ribosomal RNA is filed under the name uncultured prokaryote. Its description in RNAcentral is "partial 16S ribosomal RNA". It matches the Rfam family "Bacterial small subunit ribosomal RNA", at positions 524 to 773 of the family's 1533-position model. The record is from RNAcentral.
UACGUAGGGGGCGAGCGUUAUCCGGAUUCACUGGGUGUAAAGGGAGCGUAGACGGUAUGUCAAGCCAGAUGUGAAAAGCCUGGGCUCAACCCGGGUCCUGCAUUUGGAACUGAUAGACUGGAGUACAGGGUGGGCAGGCGGAAUUCCUGGUGUAGCGGUGAAAUGCGUAGAUAUCAGGAGGAACACCGGUGGCGAAGGCGGCCUGCUGGACGGAUACUGACGUUGAGGCUCGAAAGCGUGGGGAGCAAAC